RNAcentral lists this ribosomal RNA (253 nucleotides) under uncultured bacterium. Its description in RNAcentral is "partial 16S ribosomal RNA". It matches the Rfam family "Bacterial small subunit ribosomal RNA", at positions 524 to 776 of the family's 1533-position model. The record is from RNAcentral.
UACGAAGGGGGCUAGCGUUGCUCGGAAUUACUGGGCGUAAAGCGCACGUAGGCGGAUUGUUAAGUCGGGGGUGAAAUCCUGGAGCUCAACUCCAGAACUGCCUUCGAUACUGGCGAUCUCGAGUUCGGGAGAGGUGAGUGGAACUGCGAGUGUAGAGGUGAAAUUCGUAGAUAUUCGCAAGAACACCAGUGGCGAAGGCGGCUCACUGGCCAGAUACUGACGCUGAGGUGCGAAAGCGUGGGGAGCAAACAGG